Molecule: ribosomal RNA, 253 nt
Filed under: uncultured bacterium
Lineage: Bacteria
Description: partial 16S ribosomal RNA
Rfam family: Bacterial small subunit ribosomal RNA
Source: RNAcentral
UACAGAGGGGGCAAGCGUUGUUCGGAAUUACUGGGCGUAAAGGGCGCGUAGGCGGCCUUCUAAGUCGAACGUGAAAUCCCCGGGCUCAACCCGGGAACUGCGUCCGAUACUGGAAGGCUUGAAUCCGGGAGAGGGAUGUGGAAUUCCAGGUGUAGCGGUGAAAUGCGUAGAUAUCGAGAAGAACACCGGUGGCGAAGGCGGCCAUCUGGACGGUGACUGACGCUGAGACGCGAAAGCGUGGGGAGCAAACAGG